GAAUCAUUAGUCCUCAAUCCUUUAUCUACUAAGUCGCCUGAUCAGCUACACUGGGAUCGAUUGCUUCGGUCUUCGCCGGCACAUUCCGGCAACACGCGUGUUUCCUCUCAUUCUAGUAAACGCGUUUACUGAGGAACACAAAAUCACUCCUGUGAUUAUUUCGGCCCAUUUGCAGAAAUGGUGACGGCCUCCGGAGACCCUGAAGUCUCCAUCGUCCUCAACAUCGAGGACACCGACCCGACCCAGCCACGAUCCAGCCAGCCGCCCCCCGAGGAAGACCUUUCCAAAACCCCCUCGAAGAAGAAGAAGAAAAAGAAGAGCAAAGAGGAGGCGGAGGCACCGAGCACCGACUCGUCCACCGUAGACGCACCCAGCGACGCUCCUCUCGCCGCCAAGACCGCCAAAAAGAUGAAGAGAGACAAACGGAGGGCCGAGGGGAAGCAGACGGAAGAAAAGGAGGAGGCAGAUCAGACGAUAGAGGAGGCGGAUGCCUCUUUGGCCACUUCACCGGAGGAGGAGAAGAAGAAGAAGAAGAAGGCUAAGAAAAGGAAGAUGGAGCAAGAGGUAGCGGAGGAGAAGGAAGAGGUCACGCCUUCAGAGAAGAAAAUCAAAAAGAAGAAGAAGAAGAUGAUUAAAAUGAACGGAGAGCAAGAAGAGAAUUCCUCAAAGGAAAACCAACCGCCGAAGAAGAAAAAGAAGAAGCAAACAGAGGAGGAGGAGGAAAAGGAGGAGAGCUCCGGACCUCCUGAGACGGCAUCGACUCCACUUCCAAAGGAAGGCAAGAAGAAGAAGAAGAUGAUGAUCAUGGCUGAAGAAGGCGAGGAGACGACUGACAGCCCCAUGCCCGUCACUUCUGCAAAGAAAAAGAAGAGGAACCGGUCGGAGGAGACGGAACCGGCUGCAGAGGAACAAACUCCUCCCGCUGCGAAGAAAAAGAAAACCCCCAAAAAGAUAAAAAUCGCCUCAGACGAUCUCUGAGCAAAUCUCGGAUUCCUCUGACCCGUCGCUGCUGGACCUGAAAACCCCGAAACAAGACAAUCUCCUUCAUGUUUGUGCCUUUACACCUGAAAUAAUAACUGUUCUCAUAAAAGUAUAUUCCUAAAGGACACAAUGUUUACGGUCCCGUUUCACUGUCGUCUCCUUUUUAAAGCUUCCUCUGCGUUUUUAUCUCGAAGCAGAGCUGCUGCGGUGGGAAGAAGAUGCAUUUCGAGCUUCCUCGUAUUGCCAAAGUCAUUUUUGAGGCCCGUACUGAUCAAUUUCAAUAUAAUACAUUUCUGGAUGCAUUUAGCGGUGACUUAUUUAGCGGCAUCCGUUUGCGGUUGCUAUGGAAACGUGGAGCAGCUUGGUAUUUGGGGCUGCAAAGACAUUUUCAAUCAAAGGUUAUUCAGGGUUGGAUGUUCCGCCCUUCAGGGAUUGCUGCUACGCUGCAGCAUUUAAUAAAACAAAUGCCAUCUGCAUCCCAUGCAAACUAAGCGGUGACGAACGGAAGCGCUGAAUAUCUUACUGUCGUUAAAGGUGUCCUCCGUUUAGGAUGUGCGUUAAGGGAAAAGCUGUGAAACAGACAAGGUCUUUGAAUCAUCUUCUGUUGGUUUAUAAAUGGAUAGUUCAUGUAUUUGUAGUGAAGAGGCGAAAAAGUAUGUUUCGUCUCGAGGGAGAAACUCGUGUUUUUACUUUUUUAGUAAGCUGUGAAAUGUUUGUUUUCACACUGUUUCCUUAAAACCAUUAACUAUGCAUCUGUUAAAGGCUCUGGGAUGAAAUACUUACUUAUCUGUUCUGAGAACUAACACGUGUGAGACAAUAAAAACUCCCAAACGCUUUAAUUGUCUUUUGCUUUACACUUGACAGAAGCUUCAUUCUUCGGAAGCAGGACACUGAAUUUUGUCACUUCACCUCGACAAGUCGUAAACACGGAGCUGCGUUUCUGCUGGACGGACGUCCACAAACGUCACACUUAAACUAUGCAUGUCAUCACAUUGUGAAAAUAGUUUUGAGGCUCAGGGACUAGAACUCAGAUUUAUGUACAAACUACAUCACGCAACUAUUUGUAACCCGUAAAACCUUUUCAUUAACUGCAGUAAUUCACUCAUUUAAUAUUGAUUCAUCAAGCUGAGCCAACGGCGUCUGUUUGCAAAACUUCUGUCCUCCGUUACGAACAAUUUUAACGCUUUAAAAUGUUUACUCUUCCUCAUGUAAUUGUUUCUUUCAAUAAACACUUUCUCUUAAA
Long non-coding RNA from Gasterosteus aculeatus aculeatus (three-spined stickleback), 2224 nucleotides. The record is from Ensembl. NCBI's taxonomy places the organism in Eukaryota, Metazoa, Chordata, Actinopteri, Perciformes, Gasterosteidae.